Molecule: ribosomal RNA, 1023 nt
Filed under: Escherichia coli
Lineage: Bacteria; Pseudomonadati; Pseudomonadota; Gammaproteobacteria; Enterobacterales; Enterobacteriaceae
Description: partial 23S ribosomal RNA
Rfam family: Bacterial large subunit ribosomal RNA
Source: RNAcentral
CCGGUAAACGGCGGCCGUAACUAUAACGGUCCUAAGGUAGCGAAAUUCCUUGUCGGGUAAGUUCCGACCUGCACGAAUGGCGUAAUGAUGGCCAGGCUGUCUCCACCCGAGACUCAGUGAAAUUGAACUCGCUGUGAAGAUGCAGUGUACCCGCGGCAAGACGGAAAGACCCCGUGAACCUUUACUAUAGCUUGACACUGAACAUUGAGCCUUGAUGUGUAGGAUAGGUGGGAGGCUUUGAAGUGUGGACGCCAGUCUGCAUGGAGCCGACCUUGAAAUACCACCCUUUAAUGUUUGAUGUUCUAACGUUGGCCCGUAAUCCGGGUUGCGGACAGUGUCUGGUGGGUAGUUUGACUGGGGCGGUCUCCUCCUAAAGAGUAACGGAGGAGCACGAAGGUUGGCUAAUCCUGGUCGGACAUCAGGAGGUUAGUGCAAUGGCAUAAGCCAGCUUGACUGCGAGCGUGACGGCGCGAGCAGGUGCGAAAGCAGGUCAUAGUGAUCCGGUGGUUCUGAAUGGAAGGGCCAUCGCUCAACGGAUAAAAGGUACUCCGGGGAUAACAGGCUGAUACCGCCCAAGAGUUCAUAUCGACGGCGGUGUUUGGCACCUCGAUGUCGGCUCAUCACAUCCUGGGGCUGAAGUAGGUCCCAAGGGUAUGGCUGUUCGCCAUUUAAAGUGGUACGCGAGCUGGGUUUAGAACGUCGUGAGACAGUUCGGUCCCUAUCUGCCGUGGGCGCUGGAGAACUGAGGGGGGCUGCUCCUAGUACGAGAGGACCGGAGUGGACGCAUCACUGGUGUUCGGGUUGUCAUGCCAAUGGCACUGCCCGGUAGCUAAAUGCGGAAGAGAUAAGUGCUGAAAGCAUCUAAGCACGAAACUUGCCCCGAGAUGAGUUCUCCCUGACUCCUUGAGAGUCCUGAAGGAACGUUGAAGACGACGACGUUGAUAGGCCGGGUGUGUAAGCGCAGCGAUGCGUUGAGCUAACCGGUACUAAUGAACCGUGAGGCUUAACCUUACAACGCCGAAG